UAUAAUAUAGAUGUACAAUAUAUGAUAGUAUAAAUUUAUAACCUUAGUUAUAUAAUUAUAUAAUAACACCUUUUAUUUUGUAGAAUAUUUUUAUAACACUAGCUUCUAAUAUUAUCUAAGUUAAGAAAAUAUCUAUUAUUUCAUAAAUGAGUUAGUAGCACUUCAUUCACGUGUCUUUCUUAAAAAAAAAAAAAAAAAAAAGAGGCCUUAUCUCCAUGUAUAACAAACUCAAUACCUAUCAUCUCCGGUAACAUAUUACUCUAGAAUUUUCUUCUAACCCAAAACAUUUCAGCCAUAAUAAUCCUCUCCUAAUCCUAGUCUAGGUACAUUCCUACCUUGUUAGGAACUCGUAACUCGAUCUAACCGUAUUAUACUCGUAUAACAAACUAAUCCAAGCUAACAAAAAGAUAAACACCAUCAUCCCUAAACUUACGCUAGUAAUCAUAACCGUAUUCUGAAUAGCCUUAUCAUCCUCUUUCCACAUAAAUAACAUUCAAAACCCUAAUACACAAAUCUUGAAAAACCCUCGUAUACUCACAAGAAAUCACCAAGAGCUCCGCAUAAGAAAACCGCCAGAAAACCUUGUGAACUUCCAUCUACUUUCGGCUUCACCGAGACACCAUCAAACGACCUCGAUCACCACCGCGAAGAUAAAACCUUUACAGCCCUCACAACCCUCUACAACUACGGCCUUUCGGUUCCCAAAACCGCCAACUAACGAAGAGUACGUAGAAGGCUGAAGGAAGGUUUACUAGUACUUGUGUGCGGUUUGUGAGACUAAGCUUAAUAAGACUUAGCAUUAAAUGCAUACUUGGACCAAGGGCAUUAUUUCCGUCACGUUCUACGGAGGGGCAACGUUUGGGGCUCUAAAUACUUGUUCUUGUUUGGUUCGAGAGCAGCUAGGGAAAGCACGCAUCACAUUGUACGUAACCUAAAUUAUGCUAAUUAACUAUAUGGCAAUUAAUUUGGAUUCUGGCUUUAUGGUUUUUCCGCUGAAUUAUAUUAUUGUAUUAUUCAUAACCUAACAGUGGUAUUACGAGCCUCUAAUUAAUUCCAUAAUCAAUUAUAGUUAGCAUGGAUUUAAAUUUAUAAAUUUGCAAUGAAUUAAAGGGGAUUAAUUUCUUGGAUGUAAUUGUUUGCAAAUUCGUGCGAUUAUUUGAUUAUAUGUUCGCAGGAUUUUUCGGCAGUUUUGUCAAUAAUGGUCGAAAUCUUAUG
Molecule: long non-coding RNA, 1215 nt
Organism: Spinacia oleracea (spinach)
Lineage: Eukaryota; Viridiplantae; Streptophyta; Magnoliopsida; Caryophyllales; Amaranthaceae
Exons: 3
Source: RefSeq, a predicted model, not a curated record